This is a long non-coding RNA of Cucurbita maxima (winter squash), 478 nucleotides long. RefSeq lists it as uncharacterized. NCBI's taxonomy places the organism in Eukaryota, Viridiplantae, Streptophyta, Magnoliopsida, Cucurbitales, Cucurbitaceae. The transcript is spliced from 2 exons. The record is from RefSeq and is a predicted model, not a curated record.
CUGAAUGCAAGGGUGGAGAAGAAUUCAAGACCCUUAGCAACAAGUUGCAGGCAAGGAAAACGUUUGUUAGUCACAAAGAAGUUGUUUCAGCAGUUCCUAGCCUCGAUAAGUAUCUCGUGAAACAUGUCUCGCGGUUUGAAAGAGAGAAGCUGAUGUCUUCCCAUGAAUCUGAAAAUCAGAACAAAAGUUCUCUAUCACGUCGUGAAGCUAGGGAGAAAGACCUACGGUCACCCUGGGGAAGCUUAAGUUUGGGAGAUUCCAUUAGACCUCAUCUCUCCAAACUUGAACGAGACAAGGCUGCCUGGAUCAAAGCUGAAGAGGAGCAAAGGAAGUUCUGAACAAAGUGUAAUCACUCCUCCACCGAAGAAAAAAAUGUACAUUGCUUGCCCUAUAUAUACACACAUCAAGUGUUUUUUACAUUAUGCAUUAAAUCUGAAAUGUCCACUGCCUUAAGUUAUGAUAGCAUAUUGCUAUUCUG